This 253-nucleotide ribosomal RNA is filed under the name uncultured bacterium. Its description in RNAcentral is "partial 16S ribosomal RNA". It matches the Rfam family "Bacterial small subunit ribosomal RNA", at positions 524 to 776 of the family's 1533-position model. The record is from RNAcentral.
UACGUAGGGGGCGAGCGUUGUCCGGAUUUACUGGGCGUAAAGAGCGCGCAGGCGGUCGUUCAAGUCGCGUGUGAAAGCCCCCGGCUCAACUGGGGAGGGUCACGCGAUACUGAUCGACUCGAAGGCAGGAGAGGGAAGUGGAAUUCCCGGUGUAGUGGUGAAAUGCGUAGAUAUCGGGAGGAACACCAGUGGCGAAGGCGGUUGCCUGGAGCUUUGCUGACGCUGAUGCGCGAAAGCGUGGGGAGCAAACAGG